GCCGCUUCAUCGGCAGCGGUGCUCGCUGCGCCGGCCGGGGAUGCCCCCCGCCAGCUCCGCUGCCUCCAGCCGGCCCGACUCCCACCCGGGACGUGAGCUGUGGCUCUGAGGAAUAUCCCAGCCCGCCUUGCCAUUCCCUGCUGCCCCGCCCCGCGCUGUUUCCCUCGGGUUCCCAACGAACGCGGACAGGGAUGACAUCAGUGAACACCGACAGCCUGUCCCUCAGCAAGGAUACGCCCUCGCAGCUGGGCGCCGGCCUGACCGUGCCGCGGAAUCUGAAGAUCAACAUUGCCCUGGAACGAGCACUUCCCUGCCGUGCCUUGGGCACCCCGUGUGUCCCGCUCUCGUUCGCAGGGCGGGAGGAGCGGGUUCCUGAGAGGCUGUGACUUGGACCAAGAAGGAUAUUCGGGGAUGUCAAAGAUCAACAUCUCCAGUCAAUGGACCUUCUCCUGAGACUCAGCUGUUUGGACUUUGAAACAAUAAUCACUCUUUGCAUUGUUGUUUGAUUUUCUUAUAUUGUAAACCUUGUCUCAGUGAUAUGAUAGAGAUAGAUAUUCCACAGGUAAAGAAUCUCCCUGACCAUUCUAAGUCAGCAUCUGACUGAGGUUCUGAUUGACAACCAGCAGAUUGCUAAGGGAACUUCUCGAGCUGUGUUUGUUUUCCUUCCUGCAAAGGGCCCUGCAGAGGACUAGAAACACUGCCUUUUUUCUUUAAACACAAAAGGGUGAACUGUGGCCGCAGCUCUCUGGCCACCGAGAGCAACAGGCACAACUUUUCCAGGCAUUGUCCUGGGGAAGGCUGUGAGAAGAUCAGAGAAAAGAAUGAGAAACAAUUCUUAUCUCCACUUGCUGCACCUGUUGUUGUGCACACAUGGAAUAUGUUAUGGAGAUUUGUUUACCAAAGGGUGAUUUCUUAAUUGGCCACUGUGAUAGUGUUUGGAUUUAAUCAACCAAUCUGGUCAAAGCUGUAUUGGAUGUUGGCAAGGGCGAUGGGUUUUUCUGAAUAGUAUAGUAUAAUAUAAUAAAGUGAUUGAUCAGCCUUCUGGAA
Long non-coding RNA from Vidua chalybeata, 1047 nucleotides. RefSeq lists it as uncharacterized. Lineage: Eukaryota; Metazoa; Chordata; Aves; Passeriformes; Viduidae. The record is from RefSeq and is a predicted model, not a curated record. The transcript has 2 exons.